AGAGUUUGAUCAUGGCUCAGGACGAACGCUGGCGGCGUGCCUAAUACAUGCAAGUCGAACGAACUCUGGUAUUGAUUGGUGCUUGCAUCAUGAUUUACAUUUGAGUGAGUGGCGAACUGGUGAGUAACACGUGGGAAACCUGCCCAGAAGCGGGGGAUAACACCUGGAAACAGAUGCUAAUACCGCAUAACAACUUGGACCGCAUGGUCCGAGUUUGAAAGAUGGCUUCAGCUAUCACUUUUGGAUGGUCCCGCGGCGUAUUAGCUAGAUGGUGGGGUAACGGCUCACCAUGGCAAUGAUACGUAGCCGACCUGAGAGGGUAAUCGGCCACAUUGGGACUGAGACACGGCCCAAACUCCUACGGGAGGCAGCAGUAGGGAAUCUUCCACAAUGGACGAAAGUCUGAUGGAGCAACGCCGCGUGAGUGAAGAAGGGUUUCGGCUCGUAAAACUCUGUUGUUAAAGAAGAACAUAUCUGAGAGUAACUGUUCAGGUAUUGACGGUAUUUAACCAGAAAGCCACGGCUAACUACGUGCCAGCAGCCGCGGUAAUACGUAGGUGGCAAGCGUUGUCCGGAUUUAUUGGGCGUAAAGCGAGCGCAGGCGGUUUUUUAAGUCUGAUGUGAAAGCCUUCGGCUCAACCGAAGAAGUGCAUCGGAAACUGGGAAACUUGAGUGCAGAAGAGGACAGUGGAACUCCAUGUGUAGCGGUGAAAUGCGUAGAUAUAUGGAAGAACACCAGUGGCGAAGGCGGCUGUCUGGUCUGUAACUGACGCUGAGGCUCGAAAGUAUGGGUAGCAAACAGGAUUAGAUACCCUGGUAGUCCAUACCGUAAACGAUGAAUGCUAAGUGUUGGAGGGUUUCCGCCCUUCAGUGCUGCAGCUAACGCAUUAAGCAUUCCGCCUGGGGAGUA
Molecule: ribosomal RNA, 910 nt
Filed under: uncultured bacterium
Lineage: Bacteria
Description: bacterial SSU rRNA
Rfam family: Bacterial small subunit ribosomal RNA
Source: RNAcentral